RNAcentral lists this long non-coding RNA (2827 nucleotides) under Triticum aestivum (bread wheat). RNAcentral describes it as "long non-coding RNA (TAES_LNC027410)". The record is from RNAcentral. Lineage: Eukaryota; Viridiplantae; Streptophyta; Magnoliopsida; Poales; Poaceae.
GACAUGUCACAUUCAAAAUUGAGAUAUACUGCAGAUAACACAUUACAUGCAUGAGUGGCAAUCAUAUGGGUUCUGCUUUGAAUCACACGAUUCAGACAGUUGUGAACAUUGAUGAUCAUGAUUGUGUGGUAACUGUAUAUACUGAUUACGAACCAGGAAAAGAAACUAACGGUAGCUCACAGUUCUUUUAGAAAAACAUAAAGGUACUAACUGGCAGUUAUAUUUCCACCAUCACUCCUAGUUGUGACUUCCUACAAGAAAUGAGAACGAAAAUGAUAUUACAGCCUCAUGUCCCUUCCUUGUUUGGCCAUUAUAUUCGACAUGUUCCUUCCCUGAACAAAAGAGAUCAAUAGUGAGCAUUAAAGACCCCUGAAAACUCAAUAGGAUAUACGCCAUGGCAGUAUCUGCCCCGUUUUCAUAUUCAUUCAAUGCACAUUACCAAAAUCUAAUAGUAAUCAAACUUGAAUUAAAAUGGUACAUAAAGUUUUUGUAGUUAGAGAUAGGACCAAGUUGGAAUAGUAUAGAGAAAAUCAAACUUUAUCCUAGCAUUACACGGAAGAAACGUGACCCACUUAUCAUAUGAACAGAAACAGACCGAGAAAUUUAUUUACCAUCAGAUGUCGAUCUCUAUAUUUCCGCUUUGCAAAUGAUCCCAAUUUAAAGCUUGAUAUCCGUUGGAAUCUUCACAUUACACUGCAACCUACAAAGCUUGAAUAAGGCCACUAACGUUCAGAGCAUAGCUUAAAGAAUUGUGCAAUUAGCUCAUGAAAGCCCCCUGAUGUAACAUUUUUACCUGGUUGGUGAUGCAUGGUGGUCUACUAUGCGCAAUAAAAUACAACAAGUAAACCAGAUAAUGAUCAUAUUAAGUACUACAUCAUCAAUAGGCUGAUCAUGUUUGCACUGCCAAUUACUACAGACUUACACACGCUCCCUUCAAAUUUCAAGAACUGCUUAGCCAACAAUUCCAAGUUCAAGCAUGAAGUAGUCAAAAUGAAAUAACUCAAAAUAUUUUUAGAAUCACAACAUAGAAGGAUACUCUUGAGGACUAUGUGAACCUAGAAGACCAGGAAAAACAAUAUUUCAACUUCGCAAUGAUAUAAGGGCAUCUCCAUCACUGGGCGCUUAGCCCCGGCGCCAGGCUCGUAAUCCCAGCAGAUUAGCGGUUGCCGGCUAUAAUCCUGGCGUCAACCCUGGCGUCGACGCCAAAUCACGCACCCGGCGCUUGGCCAUUUUUCUUCCAUCACUUAGCAUCUACGUUGUUUAGUUAAUUAGCGUCUAGCGUUGAGGGAUGAGGCGCUUAGGUGUUCUUCAGAUUUUAUUAUUUUGUUCGUAAGCGCCUAUGUAAGCUCCUAGCAUUGUAGAUGCCCAAAGGGAAACAUAUUAAAUAAUAGCAGUUGUGAAUGGGCAUAUAAGUAUAUAUCACCACCUUUAGUCCACGACAACAUGUAAAUUAUCUACUUAAUAGUAAACGGUGUAUCUAGAGAUAAUGCUAACCAAUUCUGCAUACAAAACGCUUUCGAGAUGGAAAAUUAUAAUUUACUCCUAACGUUCCUUGUAGAUUGUGGUUGCUCAAAGUCAAAUAGCUGCAAUACAUGAAAACUUUUAUAUCAAUUAAAACUACUUCAGUAGUACAUACGCACAUGAUCAAGGAUAAAAUGAAUACUACUACACACAAAUGGUUAAGUAGACAAAACACCAUAUGUUCAAUCACACAAGCGGCAAGCAUGAGCCAAAAUAGAACAAAACUCUGUGCCAAAUCCUGAAUAUAAACACAAUCGAAACUAAUAUCCAUGACAACACAUAGGAAAGAAAAGAAUGCAGUAGAUAAAUAGAAAAGGAAGUGAACAAAACCACUGGCAGAACAAGCAAGCAACAACAUGCAGAGAUCUUACAGCCUGCGACAUAAAAGGGGAGGAACUCAUCAGGCAGAAGCAUUAAUCCAAAAGAACCUCAUCUCCACUGACCAUGCAGACCCAGCCACUCAUGCUCUCCACGACGACGAGGUGCGCCCGAUCCGGAAUCACGGAAAAUCACACUGCAAACUAAAUACUGGAGCAUCAGAUUAGCAGCUAUAUAUUCCAAGCAUGCAUUUUUAACUGUAAAAGAGCUAAUAAAGUGUUUACUUCAAGAAAAUACAGCAGGCCAAACAAAAAAUGUCUUUCUAAAGGUGAACAAAAAAUGAAAUAUCAAUCCUAAUAAUUAGGGUGUGCAGGACCAAAUAAUUAAUAUGCCACUUUGGAAAGAAAACUUCAAAAUGUACCAACGAUUGUGUUCACAGUGUACAAUUGGUCGGCCUGUCAUAUUCUUCUCAUCAUCAGUUUAUUACACGAAAAAGGACUGCCAUAGCCUCACAUAUGUGCUCGGGAUGCUGCAACAAGCAACAAACUACCAACAGAAGACAAAUUUGCAUAUGUACCUAUUGAGAAACAACAUAUAAAUUUAUUGGAUGAUAAUUUGAAUGUUGUACAAAAUUCAAGAGAAACUUUCCACUACCAUAUAGUGCUCGCCGCAUUACUUCAUUGCACAUAUACUCUGUAAUUGAACUAUUGACUGUAGGAAAAAUAUGUAGUGCACACAUUUACCAACAUAUAUGUGGGAAAGACACGUGCCUAAAAGAGGGCACAUUCAAAAGUGGCAACUUGUACGACAUAAUAAGCAGUAAACACAUAAACAAAGCACGCAUUUAAGCACACUUAUUCACACCUUGCCUGAUUCAGUGCUAUACCGGUUGUCAUGAAAGCAUUCAAACUGACACGAUGACCCUAUGCACUGCAUCUAUCAUUAAGUAGAGGAGAAGAUCAUAAAGAAACAAAAUAAAGGCAUUCAC